GCACAGUGGUGUAGUUGUUAACACUGUUACCUGUUAGCAAACAGGUUCCGGGAUCGAUUCCCGGGUCUGGGUG
Molecule: non-coding RNA, 73 nt
Organism: Caranx melampygus (bluefin trevally)
Lineage: Eukaryota; Metazoa; Chordata; Actinopteri; Carangiformes; Carangidae
Source: the annotation of a GenBank genome assembly